UAGGGAAUCUUCCACAAUGGACGAAAGUCUGAUGGAGCAACGCCGCGUGAGUGAAGAAGGUUUUCGGAUCGUAAAGCCCUGUUGUUGGUGAAGAAGGAUAGAGGCAGUAACUGGUCUUUAUUUGACGGUAAUCAACCAGAAAGUCACGGCUAACUACGUGUCAG
This 164-nucleotide ribosomal RNA is filed under the name uncultured bacterium. Its description in RNAcentral is "partial 16S rRNA". It matches the Rfam family "Bacterial small subunit ribosomal RNA", at positions 355 to 511 of the family's 1533-position model. The record is from RNAcentral.